Chenopodium quinoa (quinoa) is the source of this 1829-nucleotide RNA transcript. It is a transcript of the gene named protein LOW PSII ACCUMULATION 3, chloroplastic-like, with no coding region annotated. The transcript has 10 exons. The record is from RefSeq and is a predicted model, not a curated record. Lineage: Eukaryota; Viridiplantae; Streptophyta; Magnoliopsida; Caryophyllales; Amaranthaceae.
CAAAAAUAAAAAACCAAAUAUAUUAAGUGGGCCUUCUUACACAUGUAUCAAACUGUGCAUGGGCUUCAUAUACGUAAGAUCGGGCCAACAUGACUUUUUUGGCCCAUAAUAGCCCAUACCCAAUUAUAAACCCAACCUACAAAUAUCAUUAAAAAAAACCUUGAAUAAAAUAAAUAAAUAAAUAAAAACAGAUAAUGUUAACGUUUUUCUUAAGCUUCCUCAAUUUUUUUCUUGGUAAUUAAUUAAAAAUGCCGUUUUCCGGCGCCAAAAUUCCGACGGCAAUUCCAACUUUUCCGUCACCUAAGGUUGAUAAUGGGCGAUUAUUUGAGGUUGACAAGAUUUGCAAAAAUAGAGCUUUGAAAUUAAGUUGGAAUUUUGGAAUUACACAAUUGAAGCUGAAAAGAAGUAAUUAUCACUCAAGAUUUGUUACUUAUGCUUCUAAUGUCUCAGUUUCUGACGCUUCCUUUCCAGCUGAUUAUUCUGAGCUUCUUCGUCAAGCGAAAGAAGCUACUGAGUUUGCAAUAAAGGAUAACAUACAGUUGAUGGAGAUUGAGUUCCCAACUUCUGGAUUACAAUCAGUGCCAGGUGAUGGUGAAGGUGGUACAGAAAUGACUGAGAGCAUGCAGUUGAUCCGUGAAUUCUGUGACCGCCUUGUAGCUCCAGAAAAAGCUACCCGGACCAGGAUAUUUUUCCCAGAAGCCAGUGAAGUAAAGUUUGCGAGAACGUCAGUUUUUGAGGGAGUUUCAUUGAAAUUAGAUUACCUGACUAAGCCAUCUUUUCUUGAGGACUUUGGUUUUGGCACAAAAGUCAAAAUGGCAGACCGCGUACGGCCAGAAGAUGAGCUUUUCUUGGUUGCAUACCCAUACUUCAAUGUGAAUGAGAUGCUUGUUGUGGAAGAACUGUAUAAAGAAGCAGUCGCUAACACUUCAAGGAAAUUGAUUGUUUUCAAUGGGGAACUGGAUCGAAUAAGAUCUGGAUACUACCCGUCAUUCUUUUACCCAAAGUUGGCUGCACUUACCAAGACAUUGUUGCCAAAAAUGGAAACCGUGUAUUACAUUCAUAAUUUUAAAGGACGAAAUGGUGGAACUCUUUUCAGGUGUUAUCCCGGACCUUGGCAGGUUCUUAGAAGGACUGGGAACAAGUAUAUUUGUGUGCAUCAACGAGAAACUAUGCCAUCUCUGAAGGAAGUUGCCUUGGACAUCCUUCAACCAGCUUGAUCUACAUGGCUGCUUCCAAGUAUCUUGUAUAUUGUAUCUUCUGAUCAUAAAGCCCCAGUUAGGUGAUCACAGGCCAUGGGCUGGACCAUUCUGAGUUUAUUGUAGUAUGUUAAUUGGUUUGAACUCUGCUUUGGAUGUUUUUAUUAGGGCCAUCUACUCAUGUCGACCCCUAACAUUCUAACAAGAGCCUAAUCAAUAGGGUCUGGCUACCAUGCAGACCCUAAAAUAGCAGUCCGAAUCGAGUACAGUUGAAUAGGCCAAAAUGGAUUUGCUCAACUCUAGAUCAGUUUUAUAUGACAUUCCAGCGGACCAGCCUCUUGUUGAAGCUAGGGGAAGUAAUAGCCAAAUUUCAAAGAUUCGCGUAGGAUUUUGAGCGUGACUCAGAAUUGGACGACUUUGGUGAUAGCUUGUACAACUAAACUUUGAAUUUAUGACAUUUUAAAAGAUUUGUUUUUCUAGUUUAGAACACGUAGCCCUUUGUGCAGCUUCAUUAUAUUAGCCAACUCUUGAGAGGUUUGCUAUCCAUGUUAAUUACGUAUUUAAAGAAAUGCGAAAUAUACAUUGUGUGCAUUUAGACCUAGCUCUUGUAUAAUUUUUUUUUUUUUUAAAAAA